GACAGCCAGGAUGUUGGCUUAGAAGCAGCCAUCAUUUAAAGAAAGCGUAAUAGCUCACUGGUCGAGUCGGCCUGCGCGGAAGAUGUAACGGGGCUAAACCAUGCACCGAAGCUGCGGCAGCGACACUGUGUGUUGUUGGGUAGGGGAGCGUUCUGUAAGCCUGUGAAGGUGGCCUGUGAGGGUUGCUGGAGGUAUCAGAAGUGCGAAUGCUGACAUAAGUAACGAUAAAGCGGGUGAAAAGCCCGCUCGCCGGAAG
This 256-nucleotide ribosomal RNA is filed under the name Salmonella enterica subsp. enterica serovar Derby. RNAcentral describes it as "partial 23S ribosomal RNA". It matches the Rfam family "Bacterial large subunit ribosomal RNA", at positions 1088 to 1343 of the family's 2925-position model. Lineage: Bacteria; Pseudomonadati; Pseudomonadota; Gammaproteobacteria; Enterobacterales; Enterobacteriaceae. RNAcentral also lists the same sequence under 3 other names. The record is from RNAcentral.